AGUCUUCUCCUGGGGCUUUGGUGGCUAUGGUUGGCUGGGCCACUCAGAACAGAAGGAUGAGAUG
Molecule: microRNA precursor, 64 nt
Filed under: Cebus imitator (Panamanian white-faced capuchin)
Lineage: Eukaryota; Metazoa; Chordata; Mammalia; Primates; Cebidae
Description: miRNA (ENSCCAG00000007260.1)
Source: RNAcentral